AGUUUUUGAUCGCGGUAACUUUUGCUUGCUUUAAGGUUUGGUGUUAAAUAAUUCUGAAAAAUGUAUCCUAUUUAGCUUUCCCACACCUUUCAAGUCUGUGGCUAAAUAAUCAUAAAAAAUGGUUUCAGUUACUGACAACGAGUAUUGCAGCAAGUUUAUGAAGGAUCUUUGGAAGCAGGCAAAAGAGGGAACGACUACAGACACUGUGUUAGGAUUUGAAGGAUUUUCUUUGAACGUUCAUUCCUGUGUUUUAAAGAUUGCUUCCUACACACUUUUGAAGAAGUUUACUGUUAAUGA
Styela clava is the source of this 297-nucleotide non-coding RNA. The record is from RefSeq and is a predicted model, not a curated record. NCBI's taxonomy places the organism in Eukaryota, Metazoa, Chordata, Ascidiacea, Stolidobranchia, Styelidae.